RNAcentral lists this unclassified non-coding RNA (419 nucleotides) under soil metagenome. Its description in RNAcentral is "partial contains 5.8S ribosomal RNA, internal transcribed spacer 2, and large subunit ribosomal RNA". The stretch from base 1 to 121 matches the Rfam family "5.8S ribosomal RNA", at positions 35 to 154 of the family's 154-position model. The record is from RNAcentral.
GAUGAAGGAACGUAGCGAAAUGCGAUAAGUAAUGUGAAUUGCAGAAUUCAGUGAAUCAUCGAAUCUUUGAACGCAUCUUGCGCUCCUUGGUAUUCCUUGGAGCAUGCCUGUUUGAGUAUCAUGAGCAAAUCUCAAAGUCAAUUCCUUUUGUUGAUUCAAUUGGUUUUGCUUUGGACUUGGAGGCCUUGCAGAUUUCACAGUCUGCUCCUCUUAAAUGCAUUAGCUGGAUCUCAGUAAUUAUGCUUGGUUCCACUCGGCGUGAUAAGUAUCACUCGCUGAGGACACUGUUAAAAAGGUGGCCAGGAAAAUACUGAUUGAACCGCUUCUAACGGUCUAUUAAGUUAGACAAUUACCCUUAAGUUUGAUCUCAAAUCAGGUAGGACUACCCGCUGAACUUAAGCAUAUCAAUAAGCGGAGGA